Molecule: long non-coding RNA, 334 nt
Filed under: Volvox carteri
Lineage: Eukaryota; Viridiplantae; Chlorophyta; Chlorophyceae; Chlamydomonadales; Volvocaceae
Description: long non-coding RNA (VCAR_LNC002080)
Source: RNAcentral
GGCAGGGGCGAUGGGUAGACGGUAGGGGAAGGCCAGUUGCUGCAGACGUUGUGGUGUUAAUAGUAUCAGUGUUUGUUGUGUUUUCACCUUUUCGUCCAUACCCUGUACCCCGCCCAUACCCUGUUUAUUAAAAAGGCAACAUGCUCUUCUGAGGUACUGGGUACGCUCCUGUACCGUACUGAUAUGAUUCUUUGGUGACACGCAAUUGGUAUGGCGUCCCCAAAUGCAUAGCAGUGGAAAAAGGUCUUAGGCAAAAUUUUAUGGGCAUCACCAAACUGGCUGUCACAAAUGUGUCGUACACCGUGUUAACGGUAUCGACCAACAGUAAAAGCCC